CAUAGCCACGGUAAUACGAAGGGUGCAAGCGUUAAUCGGAAUUACUGGGCGUAAAGCGUGCGUAGGCGGUGAGUUAAGUCUGCUGUGAAAUCCCCGGGCUCAACCUGGGAAUGGCAGUGGAUACUGGCUCGCUAGAGUGUGUCAGAGGAUGGUGGAAUUCCCGGUGUAGCGGUGAAAUGCGUAGAGAUCGGGAGGAACGCCGAUGGCGAAGGCAGCCACCUGGUCCACUUCUGACGCUGAGGCGCGAAAGCGUGGGGAGCAAACCGGAUUAGAUACCCCCGUAGUCCCUGUCUCUUAUACA
This 301-nucleotide ribosomal RNA is filed under the name uncultured bacterium. RNAcentral's name for it is "partial 16S ribosomal RNA". It matches the Rfam family "Bacterial small subunit ribosomal RNA", at positions 510 to 808 of the family's 1533-position model. The record is from RNAcentral.